Numida meleagris (helmeted guineafowl) is the source of this 1207-nucleotide long non-coding RNA. RefSeq lists it as uncharacterized. The transcript is spliced from 3 exons. The record is from RefSeq and is a predicted model, not a curated record. NCBI's taxonomy places the organism in Eukaryota, Metazoa, Chordata, Aves, Galliformes, Numididae.
GGUGCUUAAGGCCAGGUGGGAUGGGGCCCUGGGCAGCUUCAGCUGGUGGGGAGCAGCCAGCCCAUGGCACGGGGUUGGGGCUGUGUGGUCUGUAAGAUCCCUUCCAACCCAAACCAUUCUAUGGUUCCAUUUUAAAACAGCUAGAAAGGAUGGAAAAAUAACUGCAUGUGCUGCUACAGACUGCAGUCUAAUAAGGAAAAUUCUUUUAAUAUGGGUCUUCGUCAAAGUCACAGUUGGAUGUUUGACACAAUACCUCCACAUCCACGGUAGCACAGAGAUAUUUGCAUGCCAAGCACAGCAUUUAUGGCACAGGGGAAGGGCCUGGCCUGAUAGCAGGCGCAGCUGUGAAGUUUAAGUACUGCUCAAGACCUGGAUCACCUCCUACGUGACUCUACUCCACACAUUUGCUCUUUAAGUCUCAUAGAGCAGUGAACUAAAAUUUGGAAUAAAGGUUUUGCAUUUGGUGGAAAUAAGUAACAUGUGUUAUACCUACAGGGUUUUCUUAUGCCUCUGUUCUUUGCUUCCUAUCCAGUUCUCCUGAGUAAGGUACAUGAAGACCAACGUGCACCUUUUUCCUGUGAAUUUUCUGAGACGAUCUUCUGAAGCUUUUCUUUAUGAUGACAGUAGGAAUAAUAUCUGGAGCUAGCCUAACUCCAGUAAAGGAGAAGAGCAGUCGAACUAUGCAGGGCAAGGAAGUCGUGGGAGAUAGCAGUUUCUCCACAAAGAUCAAAGUACCAAAUGGAAAUCAAGAGCAAUGGACUCCUUAUUUUGACUUCAGUUUAUAGUGAAAGCUCACAGAUACUUUGGUAAUGAGUGGGAGGGAUUUUCAGGUAGGUAACUUCUUGCUGUUGUACUGUGACAAAAACGGGGUUGCUGGCUAAGUGCAGUUGUGAUUUUUACACUUUACAGAGGUGAUGCCACAACUGUUUGUAACAGCAUAGAAGAGGAAACAGUGUUGAAAAAUGUGGACUCAGUAUUUACUCAGUGAAAGUUUUAACUGCUAUGGUUUUCCAACGUCUCAUCAAUGAGACUGUCAUCUCUCCCCGUUGGCUUUCUUUAUCAGCUGUCUUCCUUUCUCACAGUGCUUGAGUAAUGUUAACUUAGGUUACACCCAGAACAGAAAUUCCCAGCCUGUACUUAGUUUGAUGUCUGCUGUGUUUAGAUCCAUCUUGUAAAAAUUUUUAUUACCCACCCCAAAGGUCUUAUU